RNAcentral lists this ribosomal RNA (422 nucleotides) under uncultured bacterium. RNAcentral describes it as "bacterial SSU rRNA". It matches the Rfam family "Bacterial small subunit ribosomal RNA", at positions 355 to 774 of the family's 1533-position model. The record is from RNAcentral.
UAAGGAAUAUUGGACAAUGGUCGCAAGACUGAUCCAGCCAUGCCGCGUGCAGGAAGACGGCCCUAUGGGUUGUAAACUGCUUUUGUACCAGAGAAAACCUAUCUACGUGUAGAUAGCUGAUAGUAUGGUAAGAAUAAGCAUCGGCUAACUUCGUGCCAGCAGCCGCGGUAAGGCGAAGGCUGCAAGCGUUAUCCGGAUUCAUUGGGUUUAAAGGGUGCGUAGGCGGGCUUGUAAGUCAGUGGUGAAAUCUCUCAGCUUAACUGAGAAACUGCCAUUGAUACUGCAGGCCUAGAGUAUAGAUGACGUUGGCGGAAUAUGACAUGUAGUGGUGAAAUACUUAGAUAUGUCAUAGAACACCGAUUGCGAAGGCAGCUAACGAAACUAUAACUGACGCUGAGGCACGAAAGUGCGGGGAUCAAACA